AUUGAACGCUGGCGGCAUGCUUUACACAUGCAAGUCGAACGGUAACAGGCCGCAAGGUGCUGACGAGUGGCGAACGGGUGAGUAAUGCAUCGGAACGUGCCCAGUCGUGGGGGAUAACUACUCGAAAGAGUAGCUAAUACCGCAUACGAUCUAUGGAUGAAAUCGGGGGACCGUAAGGCCUCGCGCGAUUUGAGCGGCCGAUGUCAGAUUAGGUAGUUGGUGGGGUAAAGGCUCACCAAGCCAACGAUCUGUAGCUGGUCUGAGAGGACGACCAGCCACACUGGGACUGAGACACGGCCCAGACUCCUACGGGAGGCAGCAGUGGGGAAUUUUGGACAAUGGGCGCAAGCCUGAUCCAGCAAUGCCGCGUGCAGGAAGAAGGCCUUCGGGUUGUAAACUGCUUUUGUACGGAACGAAACGGCUCUGGUUAAUACCCGGGGCUAAUGACGGUACCGUAAGAAUAAGCACCGGCUAACUACGUG
RNAcentral lists this ribosomal RNA (482 nucleotides) under uncultured bacterium. RNAcentral describes it as "partial 16S ribosomal RNA". It matches the Rfam family "Bacterial small subunit ribosomal RNA", at positions 30 to 507 of the family's 1533-position model. The record is from RNAcentral.